CCGGGGCAGUAGCGAUGUCCUUUGCCGCAUGCUAUAGCGGGGUGAUGGUUUGUUUCGGGUAACCACGUGACUGGCUGCCCUUGGCAAGUAGUGUUGACGUUCAGGUCUUACGCAAUAGGACCUGUGAACCAGGUCAGGUGGGGAACCAAGCAGCCUUAAGCAGUACUCCUAUGUGCCGUGAGGGUGCCUGAACUGAGCUAACUACCAAGGUA
Molecule: signal recognition particle RNA, 212 nt
Filed under: human gut metagenome
Description: Bacterial large signal recognition particle RNA
Rfam family: Bacterial large signal recognition particle RNA
About the family: The signal recognition particle (SRP) is a universally conserved ribonucleoprotein involved in the co-translational targeting of proteins to membranes. Archaeal SRP consists of a 7S RNA and homologues of the eukaryotic SRP19 and SRP54 proteins.
Source: RNAcentral